Molecule: long non-coding RNA, 346 nt
Organism: Ostrea edulis (European flat oyster)
Lineage: Eukaryota; Metazoa; Mollusca; Bivalvia; Ostreida; Ostreidae
Exons: 2
Source: RefSeq, a predicted model, not a curated record
GAUCUUUAUAAAAUGGUAUGGAUGCGGAAAUUAAUUCUGGGCAUUGUCGCAGUGUGUGUAAUCGCACCUACAUUAACACACGUUCUGAGUUCCGGGCAUGGCAGCAAAGGAGUUGAUACAUCGCGAUACAACAAAAGAUCCAAUGCAGCAAUAGAAUGUCCCCCAGGCCUGAAUAAAAUGGAUUGUUAUCAACAACUCAUGAAUGUGUGGAUGCGGAUGUUGAUGAAAGGGCAGCUGAAAAGAACAAUCUUUUAAUAUAACUGUUUACAACAAUCAUAUAUCGUGCUUUGGUAUAUACAUGUACUGAUGGUGAUGUAAGGUUUUAUUAAAAAAAACCACAUUUUCA